This 474-nucleotide ribosomal RNA is filed under the name uncultured organism. RNAcentral describes it as "partial 16S ribosomal RNA". It matches the Rfam family "Bacterial small subunit ribosomal RNA", at positions 331 to 797 of the family's 1533-position model. The record is from RNAcentral.
GUACACUCCUACGGGAGGCAGCAGUGGGGAAUAUUGCACAAUGGGCGCAAGCCUGAUGCAGCCAUGCCGCGUGUAUGAAGAAGGCCUUCGGGUUGUAAAGUACUUUCAGCGGGGAGGAAGGCGAUAAGGUUAAUAACCUUGUUGAUUGACGUUACCCGCAGAAGAAGCACCGGCUAACUCCGUGCCAGCAGCCGCGGUAAUACGGAGGGUGCAAGCGUUAAUCGGAAUUACUGGGCGUAAAGCGCACGCAGGCGGUCUGUCAAGUCGGAUGUGUAAUCCCCGGGCUCAACCUGGGAACUGCAUUCGAAACUGGCAGGCUAGAGUCUUGUAGAGGGGGGUAGAAUUCCAGGUGUAGCGGUGAAAUGCGUAGAGAUCUGGAGGAAUACCGGUGGCGAAGGCGGCCCCCUGGACAAAGACUGACGCUCAGGUGCGAAAGCGUGGGGAGCAAACAGGAUUAGAUAUCCUGGUAGUCCC